ACAAUCACCUCCGAGCUAGCUACCAUGCAGUCGCAGGGUAACAUGAGGAAAGCUUGCUUUCCUUGAUGACGACUGGCGCACGGGUGAGUAACGCGUAUCCAACCUUCCCAUAACUACGGGAUAACCCGUUGAAAGACGGCCUAAUACCGUAUGAUAUCGUUUGCUGACAUCAAAUAACGAUUAAAGGUUUAGCGGUUAUGGAUGGGGAUGCGUCUGAUUAGCUUGUUGGCGGGGUAACGGCCCACCAAGGCUACGAUCAGUAGGGGUUCUGAGAGGAAGGUCCCCCACAUUGGAACUGAGACACGGUCCAAACUCCUACGGGAGGCAGCAGUGAGGAAUAUUGGUCAAUGGGCGAGAGCCUGAACCAGCCAAGUAGCGUGCAGGAAGACGGCCCUAUGGGUUGUAAACUGCUUUUAUGUGGGGAUAAAGUGCGCGACGUGUCGUGCAUUGCAGGUACCACAUGAAUAAGGACCGGCUAAUUCCGUGCCAGCACC
RNAcentral lists this ribosomal RNA (494 nucleotides) under Prevotella sp. 3-3. Its description in RNAcentral is "bacterial SSU rRNA". It matches the Rfam family "Bacterial small subunit ribosomal RNA", at positions 39 to 515 of the family's 1533-position model. The record is from RNAcentral. Lineage: Bacteria; Pseudomonadati; Bacteroidota; Bacteroidia; Bacteroidales; Prevotellaceae.